Molecule: long non-coding RNA, 821 nt
Organism: Bos taurus (domestic cattle)
Lineage: Eukaryota; Metazoa; Chordata; Mammalia; Artiodactyla; Bovidae
Source: Ensembl
AGGGUACUGAGGUUUUCUGGAAUCACUUAAAGGCUACGAGCGCGGGGUCCACCGGCUCCGGGAUGCCAUUGGCUGCUGGAUUGGCGCAGGCGCUAUGGCUCCCGGGUCGGCGUUCGGAGUUGCUGAGGCAGGGCUUUGGCUACUGGACACUGUAGGUUCGAAUCCCAUCUAGGAACUUCAGUUUGCGCACCUGUAAAAGAAGCUGGUAUUAUUGGCUGGCACAGAAUGUGUUGGGGAAGUUUAAAAGGCAUUUUGGCUUCUGCCUUGCUUUCUGGGAUCUCUUGCUUUAGUGGAAGCCAUCCACCAUAUUGUGAGGAUACUCAAGCAGCCCCUUGGGGAGACACCUGUACCACAUAACUGAAGUAUCUCAGCCAAAAGCCAGCACUAAUUCAUUAGCCGGGACUUGAAGACUCUGAUCUGCUUGGUGGUGAAUAUCCCAGAGUGAGGUGUCUGAGCUCUUUGUUUUUAGGUCCCUGAUCCGUUUGUGGGUAUAUGAAUCACAUAUGAGUUCCCUGAUUAGUUUGUGGGUAUGUGUCUCCCAGGACAUCAUGUCUCGACUGAUCUAUGCAUGUACAUCUCUGUUCAGCUGAAUACUGGCCUUCAAUAAUAUCCCCGUCUCAGUCCCUAGUGAAAGUGUUAGUCAUUGAGUCAUGUCUGACUCUGCAACCCCAGGCUCCUCUGUCCAUGGGAUUCUUUAGGCAAGAAUACUGGAGUGGGUUGCCAUUUCCUUCUCCAGGGGAUCUUCCUGACCCAGGGAUCGAACCUGGGUCUCCUGCACUGCAGGCAGAUUCUUUACCAUCUGAGCCACCUGGGAAGCCUGU